This 492-nucleotide ribosomal RNA is filed under the name uncultured bacterium. Its description in RNAcentral is "partial 16S ribosomal RNA". It matches the Rfam family "Bacterial small subunit ribosomal RNA", at positions 29 to 507 of the family's 1533-position model. The record is from RNAcentral.
AGUGAACGCUGGCGGUAGGCCUAAUACAUGCAAGUCGAACGGCAGCACAGUAAGAGCUUGCUCUUACGGGUGGCGAGUGGCGGACGGGUGAGGAAUACAUCGGAAUCUACUUUUUCGUGGGGGAUAACGUAGGGAAACUGAUGCUAAUACCGCAUACGAUCUACGGGUGAAAGCAGGGGAUCUUCGGACCUUGCGCGAUUGAAUGAGCCGAUGUCGGAUUAGCUAGUUGGCGGGGUAAAGGCCCACCAAGGCGACGAUCCGUAGCCGGUCUGAGAGGAUGAUCAGCCACACUGGAACUGAGACACGGUCCAGACUCCUACGGGAGGCAGCAGUGGGGAAUAUUGGGCAAUGGGCGCAAGCCUGAUCCAGCCAUACCGCGUGAGUGAAGAAGGCCUUCGGGUCGUAAAGCCCUUUUGUUGGGAAAGAAAAGCUGCAGGAUAAUACCCGGCUGUUCUGACGGUACCCAAAGAGUAAGCACCGGCUAACUUCGUG